UCUUUAAAUGAAUUGAUUAUAAGAAGGGGUGGAAAUAGGCUAGGCCGAGCCGGGAUUUAGAAAAUUAGACACGGGCCUGUUAGGAAAAUCUAAAGCCUAGGCUUG
Ipomoea nil (Japanese morning glory) is the source of this 105-nucleotide long non-coding RNA. RefSeq lists it as uncharacterized. Lineage: Eukaryota; Viridiplantae; Streptophyta; Magnoliopsida; Solanales; Convolvulaceae. The record is from RefSeq and is a predicted model, not a curated record. The transcript is spliced from 3 exons.